GACGAACGCUGGCGGCGUGCUUAACACAUGCAAGUCGAACGGAAAGGCCCUGCUUUUGUGGGGUGCUCGAGUGGCGAACGGGUGAGUAACACGUGAGUAACCUGCCCUUGACUUUGGGAUAACUUCAGGAAACUGGGGCUAAUACCGGAUAGGAGCUCCUGCUGCAUGGUGGGGGUUGGAAAGUUUCGGCGGUUGGGGAUGGACUCGCGGCUUAUCAGCUUGUUGGUGGGGUAGUGGCUUACCAAGGCUUUGACGGGUAGCCGGCCUGAGAGGGUGACCGGAGGCAGUGGGGGAGAGAGAAGGGGGGGAGGGAGACGGGCGCGACAAGGGGGGAUGAGGGAAGACGGGCGGGAGGGAGUAGGCAGCCUCUGAGUGUGCGGGAUGAAGGGAGUAGGGGUGGAAACAGGUUUCGACUGAGACGAAGAGGGAGUGGAGGUAAGGGGUAAAGAGGCAACGGCUAAAUCGGUG
This 468-nucleotide ribosomal RNA is filed under the name uncultured bacterium. Its description in RNAcentral is "partial 16S ribosomal RNA". The stretch from base 20 to 331 matches the Rfam family "Bacterial small subunit ribosomal RNA", at positions 47 to 358 of the family's 1533-position model. The record is from RNAcentral.